UCCCUGGUGGUCCAGUGGCUAAGACUCUGCACUCCCAGUGGAGGGCCCAGGUUCAAUCCCUGGCCAGGGAA
This is a non-coding RNA of Budorcas taxicolor (takin), 71 nucleotides long. NCBI's taxonomy places the organism in Eukaryota, Metazoa, Chordata, Mammalia, Artiodactyla, Bovidae. The record is from the annotation of a RefSeq genome assembly.